This 450-nucleotide ribosomal RNA is filed under the name uncultured bacterium. Its description in RNAcentral is "bacterial SSU rRNA". It matches the Rfam family "Bacterial small subunit ribosomal RNA", at positions 329 to 793 of the family's 1533-position model. The record is from RNAcentral.
CCCCAGACUCCUACGGGAGGCAGCAGUGGGGAAUAUUGCACAAUGGGCGCAAGCCUGAUGCAGCAACGCCGCGUGAGCGAAGAAGGUCUUCGGAUCGUAAAGCUCUGUCCUUGAGGAAGAAGGAAGUGACGGUACUCAAGGAGGAAGCCCCGGCUAAAUACGUGCCAGCAGCCGCGGUAAUACGUAUGGUGCAAGCGUUAUCCGGAAUGACUGGGUGUAAAGGGAGCGUAGACGGUUGUACAAGUCUGAUGUGAAAGCCCACGGCUCAACUGUGGGAGUGCAUUGGAAACUGUAGAACUAGAGUAUCGGAGAGGCAAGUGGAAUUCCUAGUGUAGCGGUGAAAUGCGUAGAUAUUAGGAGGAACACCAGUGGCGAAGGCGGCUUGCUGGACGAAAACUGACGUUGAGGCUCGAAAGCGUGGGGAGCAAACAGGAUUAGAUACCCUGGUAC